RNAcentral lists this ribosomal RNA (405 nucleotides) under uncultured bacterium. RNAcentral describes it as "bacterial SSU rRNA". It matches the Rfam family "Bacterial small subunit ribosomal RNA", at positions 28 to 415 of the family's 1533-position model. The record is from RNAcentral.
GAUGAACGCUGGCGGCGUGCUUAACACAUGCAAGUCGAACGAAGCACUCAUGACAGAUUCUUCGGAUGAUGGAUUGAUUGACUGAGUGGCGGACGGGUGAGUAACGCGUGGGUAACCUGCCUCAUACAGGGGGAUAACAGUUAGAAAUGACUGCUAAUACCGCAUAAGCGCACAGUACCGCAUGGUACGGUGUGAAAAACUCCGGUGGUAUGAGAUGGACCCGNGUCUGAUUAGCUAGUUGGUGGGGUAACGGCCUACCAAGGCGACGAUCAGUAGCCGGCCUGAGAGGGUGAACGGCCACAUUGGGACUGAGACACGGCCCAAAAUCCUACGGGAGGCAGCAGUGGGGAAUAUUGCACAAUGGGGGAAACCCUGAUGCAGCGACGCCGCGUGAGCGAUGAAGUA